This 809-nucleotide long non-coding RNA is filed under the name Rattus norvegicus (Norway rat). RNAcentral describes it as "long non-coding RNA NONRATT024296". Lineage: Eukaryota; Metazoa; Chordata; Mammalia; Rodentia; Muridae. The record is from RNAcentral.
GUCAAAGGCAGAGAUUUUCAGGGAGAAGAACGAUAUUACAUUGGCAAUUCUGAAUUACAGUCAGGCCAUUAAGUGCAGGCCCAAAGAUGCUAGCCUCUACUUUAAGAGAGGGGAGAUGUACGAGAAGACAAACAAAGUUCUGGCGAUUGAUGACUUCUCGAAAUGUAUUUAUUAUGAUCCCAAAAGAUCAGACGCAUUAUGGAAACGUGGGAUGUUUUACUUUGAAAACGAAAACUGGACCGGGGCCGUAUAUGAUUUUACAUCUCUGUUAAAACUUGAACCCCAUAAUUCUCAGGCAAGGACAAACAGGGGGAGAGCAUAUUUCAAAAGGAAUUUAUUCAAACAAGCAACCGAAGACUUUUCUGCUGCCAUCCACUCAGACCCCAACAACUGGCUAGCCCUGUACUACCGAGCCUGCUUAUUUAGAAAGUGUAGCCCUCAAAGAGCGCUGCAGGACUACAGUGUGUCAGUUCUUAUAAAUGAUGGCUACGAUAACCUUAAUUGUUUUCUACAUCGGGGUAUACUCUAUACAGAAUUAAAGUUUUGGAUGCUGGCAGUUUGUGAUUUUGAAACUGUCGUUACUCUCGAAAGAACUGCUACUUUGGCUUACAUAAAUAUUGGCCUUAUAUAUCUACAACACCUGGAUAAUUAUACCGAAGCCUUUUGGUGGUUUACUGAGGCAAUUAGAGUCGAUCCUUUAUAUAUUCAAAGCUAUAUUUGUAGAGCAGAAACCUAUUCUAAGCUGCAUAAACUGAAAAAAGCAGUAACUGAAUUAUCUCGGGCUAUCCAUCUCCAGCCUGAUGCAAUCC